GGCUUGGUGGUCUAGUGGUAUGAUUCUCGCUUAGGGUUCACCCUUUGCCAAGAAGAUGCUGAACAGUAUUCUUCAAAUCUGCGAGAGGUCCCGGGUUCAAUCCCCGGCCAAGCCC
This is a non-coding RNA of Xylaria palmicola, 115 nucleotides long. The record is from the annotation of a GenBank genome assembly. Lineage: Eukaryota; Fungi; Ascomycota; Sordariomycetes; Xylariales; Xylariaceae.